RNAcentral lists this ribosomal RNA (987 nucleotides) under Escherichia coli. RNAcentral's name for it is "partial 23S ribosomal RNA". It matches the Rfam family "Bacterial large subunit ribosomal RNA", at positions 1935 to 2916 of the family's 2925-position model. Lineage: Bacteria; Pseudomonadati; Pseudomonadota; Gammaproteobacteria; Enterobacterales; Enterobacteriaceae. The record is from RNAcentral.
CGUAACUAUAACGGUCCUAAGGUAGCGAAAUUCCUUGUCGGGUAAGUUCCGACCUGCACGAAUGGCGUAAUGAUGGCCAGGCUGUCUCCACCCGAGACUCAGUGAAAUUGAACUCGCUGUGAAGAUGCAGUGUACCCGCGGCAAGACGGAAAGACCCCGUGAACCUUUACUAUAGCUUGACACUGAACAUUGAGCCUUGAUGUGUAGGAUAGGUGGGAGGCUUUGAAGUGUGGACGCCAGUCUGCAUGGAGCCGACCUUGAAAUACCACCCUUUAAUGUUUGAUGUUCUAACGUUGACCCGUAAUCCGGGUUGCGGACAGUGUCUGGUGGGUAGUUUGACUGGGGCGGUCUCCUCCUAAAGAGUAACGGAGGAGCACGAAGGUUGGCUAAUCCUGGUCGGACAUCAGGAGGUUAGUGCAAUGGCAUAAGCCAGCUUGACUGCGAGCGUGACGGCGCGAGCAGGUGCGAAAGCAGGUCAUAGUGAUCCGGUGGUUCUGAAUGGAAGGGCCAUCGCUCAACGGAUAAAAGGUACUCCGGGGAUAACAGGCUGAUACCGCCCAAGAGUUCAUAUCGACGGCGGUGUUUGGCACCUCGAUGUCGGCUCAUCACAUCCUGGGGCUGAAGUAGGUCCCAAGGGUAUGGCUGUUCGCCAUUUAAAGUGGUACGCGAGCUGGGUUUAGAACGUCGUGAGACAGUUCGGUCCCUAUCUGCCGUGGGCGCUGGAGAACUGAGGGGGGCUGCUCCUAGUACGAGAGGACCGGAGUGGACGCAUCACUGGUGUUCGGGUUGUCAUGCCAAUGGCACUGCCCGGUAGCUAAAUGCGGAAGAGAUAAGUGCUGAAAGCAUCUAAGCACGAAACUUGCCCCGAGAUGAGUUCUCCCUGACUCCUUGAGAGUCCUGAAGGAACGUUGAAGACGACGACGUUGAUAGGCCGGGUGUGUAAGCGCAGCGAUGCGUUGAGCUAACCGGUACUAAUGAACCGUGAGG